GAUGAACGCUAGCUACAGGCUUAACACAUGCAAGUCGAGGGGUAACGAGAGGAAAGCUUGCUUUCCUUGUCGACGACCGGCGCACGGGUGAGUAACGCGUAUCCAACCUGCCCCCAACUAGGGAAUAACCUUGCGAAAGUAAGACUAAUACCCUAUAAUUUCCUCAGAUGACAUCUGACGAGGAAUAAAGAUUUAUCGGUUGUGGAUGGGGAUGCGUCUGAUUAGCUUGUUGGCGGGGUAACGUCCCACCAAGGCAACGAUCAGUAGGGGUUCUGCAAUGAAGGUCCCCCACAUUGGAACUGAGACACGGUCCAAACUCCUACGGGAGGCAGCAGUGAGGAAUGUUGGUCAAUGGGCGGAAGCUUGAACCAGCCAAGUAGCGUGCAGGAUGACGGCCCUAUGGGUUGUAAACUGCUUUUAUACAGGAAUAAAGUUAGCCACGUGUGGUUAUUUGUAGGUACUGUAUGAAUAAGGACCGGCUAAUUCCGUGCCAGCAGCCGCCGUAA
This 506-nucleotide ribosomal RNA is filed under the name uncultured bacterium. Its description in RNAcentral is "partial 16S ribosomal RNA". It matches the Rfam family "Bacterial small subunit ribosomal RNA", at positions 28 to 523 of the family's 1533-position model. The record is from RNAcentral.